Molecule: ribosomal RNA, 234 nt
Filed under: uncultured bacterium
Lineage: Bacteria
Description: partial 16S ribosomal RNA
Rfam family: Bacterial small subunit ribosomal RNA
Source: RNAcentral
ACUCCUACGGGAGGCAGCAGUGGGAGUAUUGCAUCAAUGGGAAACCGGUACAUGCAGCCAUGCCGCGUGUGUGAAGAAGGCCUUCGGGUUGUAAAGCACUUUCAGUAGGGAGGAAGGUAGUGUAGUUAACACCUGCACUAUUUGACGUUACCUACAGAAGAAGCACCGGCUAACUCCGUGCCAGCAGCCGCGGUAAUACGGAGGGUGCGAGCGUUAAUCGGAAUUACUGGGCGU